AGGUUAGUAGUGUUAAGAUAAGUAUUUUUUUUAUAAAAAAAUUAUUUUUAUUUAAGUAUAGAUGAUAGAAAUAAAAAUUAAGGAACCUAAUGGGGUGAAGAAACAUAGUUAUAGAAGGAAUAAGAGUUUUUACUUUUUGUAUCAUGGCUUAUAGAGUGUAAAAAAUUAUUUUUUUUUCCUGAAAAUCUUAGAGCUACUUAACUCAACAAAAUUGUUGUUGAAAAAUCCAAUAGUAAGAGUUAAGUAGAGGUGAAAUGUUAGACGAAAAGGUUGAUAGCUGGUUGGUAGAGAAAUAUAUAUACGUAUAGAUUUUUAGGUGCUCAUUCUUGAAUAAGGCGGGGCAUGAGUUCUGGAGGUUAAAGAUUUUUGAGGUUUAGCUCAAUUAGAAAAAUUGGUUGUAGUUGAUAAUAGCUAUAAAGUAAGAAUUAAAUUUUCUAGCUUUAAUAUAUUUUUAUAAAUUAUUACUAUUUGUGCAGUUUGAUGAAUAUCUACCCAUUGGAGUUAAUUUUUAUUCUUAGAUUAGUAUAAGAUUAGUAUUUGGCGUUUUGAAUUUUGUAAAGUUAAGGGAUUUAUAUAUUAAAAGUUGAUUAGUGGUUAUUUACUAACAAGGAACUCGGCAAAAGUACUUUUCGCUUGUUUAACAAAAACAUCGCCCCUUGAAAUUAUAUAUAGGGGGUUGGGCCUGCCCGGUGAGUAAUUUAAACGGCCGCAGUUAGAAGCUGUGCUAAGGUAGCGUAAUAAAUUGUCUUUUAAUUAAAGAAAGGAAUGAAAGGUUUGACGUAAUAGUGACUGUCUCGUUUGUAAGUAGAGAAGUUUUCUUCUAAGUGAAAAGUCUUAGAUAUAAUUAGAAGACGAGAAGACCCUGUCGAGCUUGGAUAUAUUUAUCAAAGGUUUGGUAGAGUAAGGUUUAGUUGGGGCAACUGGGAAGUAGAAAAGACUUCUUGUUAAGUAUGUGGAUCCAAUAUGAUUGAAGACAGAAAAAGCUACCGCAGGGAUAACAGCGUUAUUUUUUCUGAGAGAUCAAAUUGAAGAAAAGGAUUGCGACCUCGAUGUUGGAUUAGGAUUUCUUGUUGGCGUAGAGGCUAAUGAAGUAGGACUGUUCGUCCUUUAAAAUCCUACAUGAUCUGAGUUCAGACCGGUGAGAACUAGGUCGGUUUCUAUCUCUAAUUUUAAGUUGUUUUUGUACGAAAGGACCAGACUUCUUAAUUAGAUAAUUAGAUUAAGUAAGAUGAAUAAGUGUU
RNAcentral lists this ribosomal RNA (1241 nucleotides) under Panopea globosa. RNAcentral's name for it is "16S ribosomal RNA". The stretch from base 587 to 1241 matches the Rfam family "Archaeal large subunit ribosomal RNA", at positions 1423 to 2839 of the family's 2987-position model. Lineage: Eukaryota; Metazoa; Mollusca; Bivalvia; Adapedonta; Hiatellidae. The record is from RNAcentral.